CGAUACGACCGUACCGCAAACCGACACUGGUGCGCGAGAUGAGUAUUCUAAGGCGCUUGAGAGAACUCAGGAGAAGGAACUCGGCAAAUUGACACCGUAACUUCGGAAGAAGGUGUGCCCUAUUAGUGUGUAGUGAACAACGAAGCAUGAAUGGGUUGCAAAAAAUCGGUGGCUGCGACUGUUUAUUAAAAACACAGCACUCUGCAAACACGAAAGUGGACGUAUAGGGUGUGACGCCUGCCCGGUGCUGGAAGAUUAAAUGAUGGGGUGCAAGCUCUUGAUUGAAGUCCCAGUAAACGGCGGCCGUAACAAUAACGGUCCUAAGGUAGCGAAAUUCCUUGUCGGGUAAGUUCCGACCUGCACGAAUGGCGUAACGAUGGCCACACUGUCUCCUCCUGAGACUCAGCGAAGUUGAAAUGUUUGUGAUGAUGCAAUCUCCCCGCGGAAAGACGGAAAGACCCCAUGAACCUUUACUGUAGCUUUGUAUUGGACUUUGAACAGAUCUGUGUAGGAUAGGUGGGAGGCUUUGAAGCAGGGUCGCUAGAUCUUGUGGAGCCAACGUUGAAAUACCACCCUGGUGUGUUUGAGGUUCUAACCUAGGUCCAUUAUCUGGAUCGGGGACAGUGCAUGGUAGGCAGUUUGACUGGGGCGGUCUCCUCCCAAAGCGUAACGGAGGAGUUCGAAGGUACGCUAGUUACGGUCGGACAUCGUGACGAUAGUGCAAUGGCAUAAGCGUGCUUAACUGCGAGACUGACAAGUCGAGCAGAUGCGAAAGCAGGACAUAGUGAUCCGGUGGUUCUGUAUGGAAGGGCCAUCGCUCAACGGAUAAAAGGUACUCUGGGGAUAACAGGCUGAUACCGCCCAAGAGUUCAUAUCGACGGCGGUGUUUGGCACCUCGAUGUCGGCUCAUCUCAUCCUGGGGCUGUAGCCGGUCCCAAGGGUAUGGCUGUUCGCCAUUUAAAGAGGUACGUGAGCUGGGUUUAAAACGUCGUGAGACAGUUUGGUCCCUAUCUUCCGUGGGCGCUGCAGAUUUGAGGAAGCCUGCUCCUAGUACGAGAGGACCGGAGUGGACACACCUCUGGUGUAUCGGUUGUCACGCCAGUGGCAUUGCCGAGUAGCUAAGUGUGGAAGAGAUAACCGCUGAAAGCAUCUAAGCGGGAAACUCGUUUCAAGAUGAGAUCUGCCGGGGCCUUGAGCCCCCUAAAGAGUCGUUCAAGACCAGGACGUUGAUAGGUCAGGUGUGGAAGUG
RNAcentral lists this ribosomal RNA (1249 nucleotides) under metagenome. Its description in RNAcentral is "bacterial LSU rRNA". It matches the Rfam family "Bacterial large subunit ribosomal RNA", at positions 1634 to 2875 of the family's 2925-position model. The record is from RNAcentral.